GGAAGUUCGACGGGGGCCCGCACAAGCGGUGGAGCAUGUGGUUUAAUUCGACGCAACGCGAAGAACCUUACCAGGGCUUGACAUCCCCUGACCGCGUAUGAAAGUACGUUUUCACCUCGGGUGACAGGGAGACAGGUGGUGCAUGGUUGUCGUCAGCUCGUGUCGUGAGAUGUUGGGUUAAGUCCCGCAACGAGCGCAACCCCUACGUUUAGUUGCUAACGCGUGAAGGCGAGCACUCUAGACGAACUGCCGUUGACAAAACGGAGGAAGUGGGGAUGACGUCAAAUCAUCAUGCCCCUUAUGUUCUGGGCUACACACGUGCUACAAUGGCCGGUACAGACGGACGCAAAGCCGCGAGGUGGAGCAAAUCCUAAAAAGCCGGUCUCAGUUCGGAUUGCAGGCUGCAAUUCGCCCGCAUGAAGUCGGAAUCGCUAGUAAUCGCAGGUCAGCAUACUGCGGUGAAUACGUUCCCGGGCCUU
RNAcentral lists this ribosomal RNA (479 nucleotides) under uncultured Pelotomaculum sp. Its description in RNAcentral is "bacterial SSU rRNA". It matches the Rfam family "Bacterial small subunit ribosomal RNA", at positions 910 to 1382 of the family's 1533-position model. The record is from RNAcentral. Lineage: Bacteria; Bacillati; Bacillota; Clostridia; Eubacteriales; Desulfotomaculaceae.